GAGAAGCAGAUCAAGUUCAUGACCUACAACGUUUGGUCCCGCGAUGACAUUGCAGUCUACAGAAGAAUGGAGGACAUCGGCGGCUGCGUGAAGAAACACCAGCCAGAUGUGAUUUUCUUCCAGGAAUUCACUCCAUACAUCUUAAGGAUUUUUCAGAGUUUCUCAUGGUGGAAAGAGUACCACUGUUCACCGAUCUCCCUGGAAGAACGGAAAGGCAAAAGCUUCUGCAUAAUGCUGAGCAAGGUUCCUAUGGAGAAUCACGCGCGCUGGAAGUUCACCACCACGGCCACAUGCAAAAGCUACCUAGAGGCCGACAUUAGCCCGGGCCUGGGGCUGGGGUCGGCGACGACGAUGAAGCCAAUCCGCAUCGCCACGACCCAGCUCGAGCCUCCCUGCCCACCGGAGUCAGUGCGCUGCAUGGAGCGCUACACGCAAGCCGAGCACUCUGUCGCGGCACUGAGCAGCGCGGAGAACGUCGUGUUCGGCGGCGACAUGAGCUGGGACGACAAGAUGGACCUGCCGUUCCCUCUCGCCGCAGGCUGGGUGGACGCCUCGAGAGAACUGAGGAGUCCGAGCCAAUACAGUUGGACUUACGACAGUUUCUGGGCAGAAAAGAUCGGGGAGUUCAAUGGGUAUACAGCUCCUGCCUCAGAGAUGAAGAAGCGGUCAGACCGGUUUGUGUGCAAGCUACAAGAUUACACACCGAAAGCAAUCGAGCUGAUCGAGGAUAAGGGUCUUGGGAUUUCUUAUACGAAGAAGUACAAGACGUACAACCUCGAAAAGGUGGAGCUAAUGCGGAGUUGUCACCGCGGGUUGGUUCUGACCAUCGUCCCGAACGAGCCAGAUAUUAGUACCCUUUUUGAUUGA
Molecule: ribosomal RNA, 867 nt
Filed under: Triticum aestivum (bread wheat)
Lineage: Eukaryota; Viridiplantae; Streptophyta; Magnoliopsida; Poales; Poaceae
Description: partial small subunit ribosomal RNA
Source: RNAcentral